This 425-nucleotide non-coding RNA is filed under the name Candidatus Magasanikiibacteriota bacterium. Lineage: Bacteria; Candidatus Magasanikiibacteriota. The record is from RNAcentral.
AUUACAUAGUAGAUGAUCGUCCGCCGAAUCCGUCAGCUGACGGAGAAGGUGGAAGGAAAGUCCGAACAUUCACCUGGUGCAAAUCAGGUAACAGAGUAGCGGGUAACUCCCGUCGGUCGUAAGACUAGAGGUGCGAGCAGUGACGCCGAGACGCGAAAGUGUUGAGGCAUCAUGUAAAAGCGCAAGCUUUUUACAUGAUGAACUCUGAUAGUGAUAUUAGAGGUGAAACGGCAAAAUCCUUACUUGAAUGAAAGAACAGCCUUUCGAUUCACUUCGUUCGCUUAGAGUAAACUAAUUGUUAGAUACUUUGAGUGAAUGAAGUGCAAUUUGAUUGGAAAAGUUAGUUCGCUAGACCCAGCUGGUAACAGCCUGGGCAGAUAAAUGAUCGUCCUAGACAAAAUUCGGCUUAUAGCUAUGUAAUGAAU